UACGGGGGGGGCAAGCGUUGUUCGGAAUUACUGGGCGUAAAGGGCUCGUAGGUGGCCAACUAAGUCGGACGUGAAAUCCCUCAGCUUAACUGGGGAACUGCGUCCGAUACUGGAUGGCUUGAGUUUGGGAGAGGGAUGCAGAAUUCCAGGUGUAGCGGUGAAAUGCGUAGAUAUCUGGAGGAACACCGGUGGCGAAGGCGGCAUCCUGGACCAACACUGACACUGAGGAGCGAAAGCCAGGGGAGCAAACGGG
RNAcentral lists this ribosomal RNA (253 nucleotides) under uncultured bacterium. RNAcentral's name for it is "partial 16S ribosomal RNA". It matches the Rfam family "Bacterial small subunit ribosomal RNA", at positions 524 to 776 of the family's 1533-position model. The record is from RNAcentral.